UUGCAUUUUCAAUAGCGGAGGAAAAGAAACCAACAGGGAUUGCCCUAGUAACGGCGAGUGAAGCGGCAACAGCUCAAAUUUGAAAUCUGGCGUCUUCGGCGUCCGAGUUGUAAUUUGCAGAGGGCGCUUUGGCAUUGGCAGCGGUCCAAGUUCCUUGGAACAGGACGUCACAGAGGGUGAGAAUCCCGUACGUGGUCGCUAGCCUUUACCGUGUAAAGCCCCUUCGACGAGUCGAGUUGUUUGGGAAUGCAGCUCUAAAUGGGAGGUAAAUUUCUUCUAAAGCUAAAUACUGGCCAGAGACCGAUAGCGCACAAGUAGAGUGAUCGAAAGAUGAAAAGCACUUUGGAAAGAGAGUUAAAAAGCACGUGAAAUUGUUGAAAGGGAAGCGCUUGCAGCCAGACUUGCCUGUAGUUGCUCAUCCGGGUUUCUACCCGGUGCACUCUUCUACGGGCAGGCCAGCAUCAGUUUGGGCGGUUGGAUAAAGGUCUCUGUCAUGUACCUCUCUUCGGGGAGAACUUAUAGGGGAGACGACAUGCAACCAGCCUGGACUGAGGUCCGCGCAUCUGCUAGGAUGCUGGCGUAAUGGCUGUAAGCGGCCCGUCUUAACACCCGGAACCA
This 618-nucleotide ribosomal RNA is filed under the name Didymella maydis. RNAcentral describes it as "partial large subunit ribosomal RNA". It matches the Rfam family "Eukaryotic large subunit ribosomal RNA", at positions 36 to 669 of the family's 3401-position model. The record is from RNAcentral. Lineage: Eukaryota; Fungi; Ascomycota; Dothideomycetes; Pleosporales; Didymellaceae.